CGUGUGUUUAAUGCGCCAAACAAUCUGAGUUGUAGUUUAACAUUGGACGACAUUAAUACAGACAUUUCUGGGAUUUCUGUGGAACAAAAGUUGUUUUUAGCGUCCAGUGCUCAGAUCCUUACAUCCAGACCAGAACUUCUGACACCCCAUAAAAUAACAAAAGCAGUGAAUUUAGCCAACAUGUUGCUCUCCUCAGAAAACAUAUCAACGGAUAUUGCUGUGUCUACAGUAGCCACGGUCAGUCAGCUCCUGAGUGCCGUUCCUGAGAAAUUCUCUGAUGUCAACCGU
Molecule: long non-coding RNA, 288 nt
Organism: Paramisgurnus dabryanus
Lineage: Eukaryota; Metazoa; Chordata; Actinopteri; Cypriniformes; Cobitidae
Source: RefSeq, a predicted model, not a curated record